Molecule: long non-coding RNA, 884 nt
Organism: Rosa rugosa (rugosa rose)
Lineage: Eukaryota; Viridiplantae; Streptophyta; Magnoliopsida; Rosales; Rosaceae
Exons: 2
Source: RefSeq, a predicted model, not a curated record
UCUACCUAAUUACAUCCUUAUACUUAAGCCAUUCGUAAUAACCUUCCUUCCAUGGCCCCCUAAAGGAUUGAAAUAAAGUAUAUGCAGAAAAGGACGUAUGGCUGGGUUGAAAGCAUGGGUUUGAGGACUUGGUCCUCUUCAUCUGGUUUGAUUAGUAAUAUGCAAGUGAAGUGAACUCUAGUGUAUCUUCAUGGAGGUAAGACCAUAGCACUUUUAAACUUUUACCACAGUUGGGUUCUUUUUGAGCUCAUUAAUGUCAUAGGUGACCAGAAAACGAGAGCAAACUCAGCCUCUUUCAAACAUACAUCUCUUUUCUUCUUUUCGGUUUAAUGGGUGGGUGAUCUUUGUUGUGUACUGUCUUAGUGUCUUACUUGCAUAUUCGCAGGCUGUCAAUUGUAAGAAUAUUGCUAGUUUUCUUAAUGAAUACCUUCAAAUUGUUUCAGUAAAAAGACUUGUACUUCUAAAGCUUGCGUCUUUUUAUCCUCUAUCCUUUGACAUCGAUCAAAGUCUGAGUGGCUGAGUUCUGAAUCAUACCUUAAGUUUCUAAUAUGGGUGAUACUUUCAUAUACUAGAUGCCAGCACCCAAGUGAGAACUGGUUAUGUUUGUGCUGUAAGGAAGUCCUCUGCAGCCGUUUUGUAAACAAGCAUAUGCUGCAGCAUUAUCAGCAGAUAAAUCAUUGUGUUGCUCUUAGCUACAGGCAGUGAUCCUGUUGUGAUUGUAAAUUAUUGAUGAAGCAAGAUGAGCUAGAAGUUGAAAGAAAGUUGAGAAAGCUUUGGCUGAUCUUUGUUUUUUAACAACCUUUGGUUGGUCUUAGAAUUGUGAUUGUUGGUUGGUUAUAGAUGAUGGGUUUCAUAAUAUUUUUCAAUUUAUGAUAUUUGCUGCA